Molecule: long non-coding RNA, 893 nt
Organism: Chroicocephalus ridibundus (black-headed gull)
Lineage: Eukaryota; Metazoa; Chordata; Aves; Charadriiformes; Laridae
Exons: 4
Source: RefSeq, a predicted model, not a curated record
AGGAGGCCGGGGCAGUGCCCGCCUCAGCGAGCGGGCGGCGUCGCUGAGGGAGGCGGCAGGCCGGGAGGAUGGCCGCGGUUCGGUGCCUGUGGGGAGCGCCCUCUCCUUCCCCAGUCCCUUCGGGCCGUUCAGACCUUCCCCGGCGGGUAGGGCCGUCCUGGCUGGGGGGUGAAUGAAGGUGAAGGGCCCCACUGGCGAGUUGAGUACGGUGGGGUGCGAGACCCCUGUGCUUUCUGCAACCCCUCAGAGAGCAGGGCUGUGCUCCUCACGCACCGCUUUACCACAGGCCCGUCCCCCCCCGAAAAAUUCGCCUGGACCUUGGGCUGAAGACAUCAGAGGGUGGCUCGCCAACACACCUCCUCCAUCUUCUCGCCAGCGCUCUCUCAGCACGUCCUCUCUGCUCGGGUUUGCCAUGGCACCCUGAGGCACACUCUGCUUCCCUCCAGGGUCCCUCCUGCCCUGCCUCAGCCUGCCUUGGGCCUCCCUCCCCUCUCCACAGGUCGUAGCUCAGUGGGAUGCCCCACAGCAAGGCCCCCUGGUUUGGAGGCACAAGUCACCUUCCCUGAGGUUUCUUUGUUUUAUUAGUUGAUUAUUUUUUUAAGGAACAAAAUGGGCCGCUGCCAUAAUCUCCUCUGAUCUCGAGCAGUUCUAGAAGCUGGAAUAAGACUCGAGAAUUCUCUCCAGCCAUCACUUAUCAUCAGUCUACUUGGAAGCCUUUCUGUUGGAGAUUAUUCUUAUGCAAGCAGUGUUAUCAAGAAGUGAGGCUGCUGCUCAGUUCCUAAUCUUUUGGCUGGCAAGCAUGCAGACUGCGCUAUUGGCUUACUGACUCAGAGAUGGGCAACAGGGUGGUAAUAAAAACAAUAGCAGGAUUAUCCUUAUCUUACCUCCAACAC